GGACACAUCGAUGCUCGGACAGCAGACCACUUCCUUGGUAAGGAAGAGGUCUCGGGUUCGAAUCCCGACGUGGGCUCCA
Molecule: transfer RNA, 79 nt
Filed under: Candidatus Dormiibacterota bacterium
Lineage: Bacteria; Bacillati; Candidatus Dormiibacterota
Description: candidate division AD3 bacterium tRNA-Thr
Rfam family: tRNA (bases 17-68)
About the family: Transfer RNA (tRNA) molecules are approximately 80 nucleotides in length. Their secondary structure includes four short double-helical elements and three loops (D, anti-codon, and T loops).
Source: RNAcentral